RNAcentral lists this non-coding RNA (183 nucleotides) under Ruminiclostridium hungatei. Lineage: Bacteria; Bacillati; Bacillota; Clostridia; Eubacteriales; Oscillospiraceae. The record is from RNAcentral.
AAAUUGAAUAUAAAUAUAGGUUUAAUCAUUAUUGAUUAAUUAAAAGGGAACUGGGUGAAAAUCCCAGACUAUCCCGUAGCUGUAUUAGAGGAGUUUUUGUACAAUAUGCCACUUGGUUUCGGGGAAGGCGUACAAAAAUGAAGAUUCUUAAGUCAGAAGACCUGCCUGUAUUUGAUGCCUGAG